UACGAAGGGGGCUAGCGUUGCUCGGAAUCACUGGGCGUAAAGGGCGCGUAGGCGGCCUGAUAAGUCGGGGGUGAAAGCCUGUGGCUCAACCACAGAAUUGCCUCGAUACUGUUGGGCUUGAGACCGGAAGAGGUAAGUGGAACUGCGAGUGUAGAGGUGAAAUUCGUAGAUAUUCGCAAGAACACCAGUGGCGAAGGCGGCUCUCUGGGACGGUACUGACGCUGAGACGCGAAAGCGUGGGGAGUGAACAGG
Molecule: ribosomal RNA, 252 nt
Filed under: uncultured bacterium
Lineage: Bacteria
Description: partial 16S ribosomal RNA
Rfam family: Bacterial small subunit ribosomal RNA
Source: RNAcentral